This 1417-nucleotide long non-coding RNA is filed under the name Anolis carolinensis (green anole). RNAcentral's name for it is "lncRNA (ENSACAG00000043618.1)". The record is from RNAcentral. Lineage: Eukaryota; Metazoa; Chordata; Lepidosauria; Squamata; Anolidae.
AUGAUGAAUGGUCAUGAGUUUUCUUGUUUUUCUGUCCAAAUUGUCCAGUUCCACCUGUGUUCAGUUUAUGAUGCCAGCAGUAUAUCUUAUGACAGGUAUGGCCCAGGUGUUUAUGGCCUUGAUGGUGUUGCCUCCAUUGAGCUUGCUUUGAAGAAUUUUUCUGACCCUUUGUGUGUAUUCUUUGCUGAUCACAGUCUUCACAUGUUCAUGCUUGAUGUUGUCCAGUUUAUGAUGCCAGCAGUAUAUCUUAUGACAGGUAUGGCCCAGGUGUUUAUGGCCUUGAUGGUGUUGCCUCCAUUGAGCUUGCUUUUGAGAAUUUUUCUGACCCUUUGUGUGUAUUCUUUGCUGACCACAGUCUUCACAUGUUCAUGCUUGAUGUUGUCCAGCUGAUAUUUAUAGGCCUCUGGUAACACUUUAUUGUUUGGCCAUUAGGCAUAUCUAUGCCCUCACUUUCAAUGAUUUUUCCUUUCUUCAAUGCCACUGUCGAACAUUUGUCCAAGCAAACUCCAUGCUGAUAUCAGUGCUAAAAAUUCGGACAGUGUUAGUCAGAGACUGGAUUUCAGUUUCCGUUUUCCCAUAUAGCUUCAGGUCAUCCAUGUACAUCAGAUGCAAAAUUUUGUGAGAUUUCUUAGAUGUUUGAUAGCUGAUAUUUAUUUUUUGUAAGAUUGUUGACAGAGGGAUCAUGGCAAUAAUGAAAAGCAGAGGGGACAAUGAGUCUCCCUGGAAAAUUCCUCUUCUGAUGUUGACAAGUCCAUAGCUUUCAUUUCCAACAAACAGUUCAGUUUUCCAGUGCUCCAUCAUGUUUUCAAUAAAGGUGCCAGCAUUUUUACUAAUCCCGAUGGCGUCCAGGCACUUGAUGAUCCAGCUGUGUAGGAGUGAGUCAAAGGCCUUUUUGUAGUCAAUCCACAUCAUGUGAAGAUUAGCUUUUCGGCUUUUACAGUUCUCCAGAAUCAUUUUGUCAAUUAUUAACUGGUCUUUUGUGCCCCUGCUUUUCCAUUUGUUGCCUUUCUGUUCAUCUGGCAAGAUGUUUUUUUCUUCAAGUUAUUAUUGUUAUUGUUAUUAUUAUUAUUAGAAACACAACACAGAGUGUCCACAGCAGACACUCUGGGGCUGUUGUACUGGAUCACACCAAGUGUCUAGGGAUGUGUGAGGUAUCGGCAAAUAAUGCGUGCAGAUCCCAGUAAGGUGGCCUUCUGCAGCUGGCAGAUGGUAAUUUUGUCAGCGCCGAUUGUGUUCAAGUGCAGGCCAAGGUCUUUAGGCACUGCACCCAGUUUGCCGAUCACCACUGGGACCACCUUGACUGGCUUGUGCCACAGUCUUUGCAAUUCGAUCUUUAAAUCCUCAUAUCAUGCCAGCUUUUCUAGUUGUUUCUCCUCAAUCCUGCUGUCACCUGGGAUUGCAACAUUGACAAUCCAUA